UCUCGAAUAGUAUAGUGGUCAGUAUUUCGGCUUGUCAAGGACACCAGUCCAAACAGCGCCGGAGGCCGGGGUUCGAUUCCCCGUUCGAGAG
Non-coding RNA from Setomelanomma holmii, 91 nucleotides. NCBI's taxonomy places the organism in Eukaryota, Fungi, Ascomycota, Dothideomycetes, Pleosporales, Phaeosphaeriaceae. The record is from the annotation of a GenBank genome assembly.